Molecule: ribosomal RNA, 830 nt
Filed under: uncultured Bacillota bacterium
Lineage: Bacteria; Bacillati; Bacillota
Description: bacterial SSU rRNA
Rfam family: Bacterial small subunit ribosomal RNA
Source: RNAcentral
UCGAACGCGAAAGGGGAGCAAUCCCUGAGUAGAGUGGCAAACGGGUGAGUAACACGUGGGUGACCUGCCUCAGAGUGGGGGAUAACGACCCGAAAGGGUCGCUAAUACCGCAUAACAUGCUGCGUUUGGAAACGCAGACAUCAAAGCCGGGGAUCGCAAGACCUGGCGCUUGGAGAGGGGCCCGCGGCCGAUUAGCUAGUUGGUGAGGUAACGGCUCACCAAGGCAACGAUCGGUAUCCGGCCUGAGAGGGCGGACGGACACACCGGGACUGAGACACGGCCCAGACUCCUACGGGAGGCAGCAGUGGGGAAUUGUUCGCAAUGGGCGCAAGCCUGACGACGCAACGCCGCGUGGAGGAUGAAGAUCUUCGGGUCGUAAACUCCUUUCGAUCGGGAAGAACGUUUUCCGGGUGAACAACCCGGAGAAGUGACGGUACCGAGAGAAGAAGCCCCGGCUAACUCUGUGCCAGCAGCCGCGGUAAUACAGGGGGGGCAAGCGUUGUUCGGAAUUACUGGGCGUAAAGGGCCAGUAGGCGGCCAACUAAGUCCGACGUGAAAUCACCAAGCUUAACUUGGGAACUGCGUCGGAUACUGGAUGGCUUGAAUUCGGGAGAGGGAUGCAGAAUUCCAGGUGUAGCGGUGAAAUGCGUAGAUAUCUGGAGGAAUACCGGUGGCGAAGGCGGCAUCCUGGACCGACAUUGACGCUGAACGGCGAAAGCUAGGGGAGCAAACGGGAUUAGAUACCCCGGUAGUCCUAGCCCUAAACGAUGAAUGUUUGGUGUGGCGGGUAUCGAUCCCUGCCGUGCCGAAGCUAACGCAUUAAACAUUUC